CGGUCCUACGGGGGGCAGCAGUAGGGAAUCUUCGGCAAUGGGCGAAAGCCUGACCGAGCAACGCCGCGUGAAUGAAGAAGGCCUUCGGGUUGUAAAAUUCUGUUAUAAGGGAAGAAAGGUGAUAGGAGGAAAUGACUAUCAAUUGACGGUACCUUACGAGAAAGCCACGGCUAACUACGUGCCAGCAGCCGCGGUAAUACGUAGGUGGCAAGCGUUACUCGGAAUCACUGGGCGUAAAGAGCGCGUAGGCGGGAUAG
RNAcentral lists this ribosomal RNA (257 nucleotides) under uncultured bacterium. RNAcentral describes it as "partial 16S ribosomal RNA". It matches the Rfam family "Bacterial small subunit ribosomal RNA", at positions 334 to 583 of the family's 1533-position model. The record is from RNAcentral.